GGCUUUUUGGGGUGAGAAAAAGUCAGGCCUGCUCCCUGAGGAAUUUAAGAGCCGCGGUAUUUUGACUGUGCGAAGGUAGCAUAAUCAUUUGUCUAUUGAUUGUAGACUGGAAUGAAGGGUUAGAUGGAAAAAGGCUUUAUAUUUAGUUAUAUUUUGAAAUUAGAAUUAUUAUAAGAAUAUAAUAGAAAAAGUGAGGGACGAGAAGACCCUGUUGAACUUAAUUAGGUUAGUUUAAUUAAAAUGUUAACAGACGAUUAUUAGAUGGGACUGGAAUUUUACUGGGGCGGUAGAAAUAAGAACUAAUUUUAUUUUGGGGAAUUAACAGAUUUUAUGGGAAGGUCUAUAGUUAUACAGAAGGAAAAGUUACCACAGGGAUAACAGUGUAAUGGGUCUGGAGAGUUCAUAUUGAUAGAUUAUAUUACAACCUCGAUGUUGAAUAAAAUAACUUUUUAGUGAAGGAGCUAAAGAAGUAAGUCUGUUCGACUUUUAAAUUUUUACA
RNAcentral lists this ribosomal RNA (499 nucleotides) under Etienneus africanus. RNAcentral describes it as "partial 16S ribosomal RNA". It matches the Rfam family "Bacterial large subunit ribosomal RNA", at positions 1887 to 2600 of the family's 2925-position model. The record is from RNAcentral. Lineage: Eukaryota; Metazoa; Arthropoda; Arachnida; Uropygi; Thelyphonidae.